GCUGGGCAGGGUGGUGCAUGCCUGUAAUCCCAGCUACUGGGGAGGCCGAGGCAGGAGAAUCGCUUGAACCCAGGAGAUGGAGGUUCAGUGAGCCAAGAUCGUGCCACUGCACUCUAGCCUGGGUGACAGAGCAAGACUCUGUCUCAA
This 147-nucleotide non-coding RNA is filed under the name Pan paniscus (pygmy chimpanzee). Lineage: Eukaryota; Metazoa; Chordata; Mammalia; Primates; Hominidae. The record is from Rfam by way of RNAcentral. RNAcentral also lists the same sequence under 1 other name.